This 87-nucleotide transfer RNA is filed under the name Tissierellia bacterium. RNAcentral's name for it is "tRNA-Leu". It matches the Rfam family "tRNA". Rfam says of the family: Transfer RNA (tRNA) molecules are approximately 80 nucleotides in length. Their secondary structure includes four short double-helical elements and three loops (D, anti-codon, and T loops). The record is from RNAcentral. Lineage: Bacteria; Bacillati; Bacillota; Tissierellia.
GCGAGAGUGGCGGAAUUGGCAGACGCGCUACUUUGAGGGGGUAGUGUCCAAACGGACGUGCGGGUUCAAGUCCCGCCUCUCGCACCA